AUUGCCUGCCCAGUGACUAUAGUUUAACGGCCGCGGUAUCCUGACCGUGCAAAGGUAGCAUAAUCAUUUGUUCCUUAAUUAGGGACUAGUAUGAACGGCUAGACGAGGGAUCAACUGUCUCUUAUUUUUAAUCAGUGAAAUUGACCUUCCAGUGAAGAGGCUGGAAUACAAUAAUAAGACGAGAAGACCCUAUGGAGCUUAAAUUAACAAGCUUAAUUAUUAUAUCAAUACCCUAAUGGCACAAAACAAAAAAUAUAAGCUUAAAAUUUUGGUUGGGGUGACCUCGGAGAAUAAAAGAUCCUCCGACAGAUAUAUGACAUAGACCUACAAGUCAAAGUAACCCAAUUAUCCAAUUGACCCAAAAAUUGAUCAACGGACCAAGUUACCCUAGGGAUAACAGCGCAAUCCUAUUUAAGAGUCCAUAUCGACAAUAGGGUUUACGACCUCGAUGUUGGAUCAGGACAUCCCAAUG
Molecule: ribosomal RNA, 472 nt
Filed under: Hylomyscus stella (Stella wood mouse)
Lineage: Eukaryota; Metazoa; Chordata; Mammalia; Rodentia; Muridae
Description: partial 16S ribosomal RNA
Rfam family: Bacterial large subunit ribosomal RNA
Source: RNAcentral